RNAcentral lists this long non-coding RNA (1532 nucleotides) under Setaria viridis. Its description in RNAcentral is "long non-coding RNA (SVIR_LNC003120)". Lineage: Eukaryota; Viridiplantae; Streptophyta; Magnoliopsida; Poales; Poaceae. The record is from RNAcentral.
GCCAAUUUGCUGCAGAAUAGGUGUUUCUCCAGCCACAUCAUCAAAAAGGCUGUAUGUUCUCUGUUUGUGAUGGGCCCGAUCUUUAUGUUCUUCUUGAUGAAGCCUUUCCAUCCGCCGAUGGCUUUUGUUUCCAACCGAUGAGUGGGUUUGAUUAGAAGGUCAAAAGGCGUAUCAGCAGAGGAGAUAUCAAGGUUGGUCAGCAUCAGAACAUCGGCCAAAGUUGGGGUCAUCGGUCCGUGGCCAAAAAGAACUGCAUUAAGGGUGUCGGACAAGAAAUAGGAUGCCACAAUGAGUCAUUUCUUUCCAUAUGAGACAAGGAUAGAUUUAUACACUGGUCAAUUUUUCCCUCAUCCCAAAGGACUCUCUUGGAGUUUGACAUCCUGAAGAACCACUCUCUCCAGCCAGGGUUCUCAUUCGGCCAAGACCUGAAUGUGCCUAUCCAGUUAUCUAGAUCCAUAGUUGAUUGUUUAAAUGGGACCCUAUGAGUUUCUAGAUUGAUCAGUUCGGUUGGGUCGGGAUUCCCCAUGGGGCCAAGCCCGAUGAGUUUGGGAGUGUCAGCUAUGGCAAUGGUGAUUCUUUGCCUGAGUUCUUGAGAAGAUAUGAGAAAGACUAAGAAUAGAUCUACCAAUCAUGAAACGAUGAAGAUUAAAAAGGGGAGAGUUUCAAGAGAUUUACCUCUGGGAUGAAAGCCAUGGUGGCUGAAGGAACCACCAUUAGGACUUGAAAGACUGGCGCGAUCGAUGAAACGAUGGGAGAAGGUCACCGGAAAGCACUGGAAUACACCUGGAGGCAGAACAAGCAGAGGCGCUGGAGUGCGUCGGAAGAUGAUUCGCCGGAAACUUUUUCACCUGGAGAAGAAGAAGCGGCGGAGGGGAUGAGUAUUUAGAGGACGGUUCAAGAGAAGAGUAAAUGCGGAAUUUUUAUUUUACCGCACUGUCCGUGCCAAUUUCCAAAAUAGCAGUUGCCCACGGGUGUUCUGUUCGAAAAGAUGCAAUCAUCAAAGAGAAAACUCCGGAGCGAAUAGGGUUUUGCCAUGUUUACUGUUGCACUUUCUUCGGAGGAAAGAGUCGGAGUUGAGAAAAAUUUGGAGCAAAAUAUAUGUUUCACUCCAAAACUGGGGGGCAUGUGUUGACGCCAUUUUUGGACACGUGUUAAGGUUGGCACCAAGGAGAGAAAGGUGGCCGAUGCGGAUGAGCAAAGAAGCUAUAGCUGGGGGAAUCGGCCAAUAGAGCUACAGUGUUUCGGCCGAUUAGCUAAGGGAGUCAAUGAAGACUGGCCGAUUGGGAGCCGGAGCAGCUUGGCCGAUGUGGGCCUAAAAUGGGCCAAGACGGUGAUCAGAUGAAGACGAGGAUUGGCCCACGGAAAAGUUGAACAGUGUCUAAAUCCGAAUACAGGUUAUAUCUGUGUGUAAAUAUUUAUUUUGUUAUUUUGAAUUAGAGAUAAAAAUCGUAGUCGGUUUGGGAAUUAGUUGUAGCAGGGUAUAAAUAGGUGCCUCGUUAGGCUUGUAAAACAAUACAACAAACAUCAAUACA